This 465-nucleotide ribosomal RNA is filed under the name uncultured bacterium. Its description in RNAcentral is "partial 16S ribosomal RNA". It matches the Rfam family "Bacterial small subunit ribosomal RNA", at positions 28 to 507 of the family's 1533-position model. The record is from RNAcentral.
GACGAACGUUGGCGGCGUGCUUAACACAUGCAAGUCGAACGGAAAGGCCCCUUCGGGGGUACUCGAGUGGCGAACAGGUGAGUAACACGUGAGUAACCUGCCCUUGACUUCGGGAUAACUUCAGGAAACUGGGGCUAAUACCGGAUAGGAAUCCUUGCUGCAUGGUGGGGGUUGGAAAGCUUCGGCGGUUUUGGAUGGACUCGCGGCUUAUCAGCUUGUUGGUGGGGUAGUGGCUUACCAAGGCUUUGACGGGUAGCCGGCCUGAGAGGGCGACCGGCCACAUUGGGACUGAGAUACGGCCCAGACGCCUACGGGAGGCAGCAGUGGGGAAUAUUGCACAAUGGGCGGAAGCCUGAUGCAGCAACGCCGCGUGCGGGAUGACGGCCUUCGGGUUGUAAACCGCUUUCAGCAGGGGCGAAGCUUGUGGUGACGGUACCUGCAGAAGAAGCACCGGCUAACUACGUG